GUGAGAGGGCGGGAAUACGUAGGGUGCGAGCGUUAAUCGGAAUUACUGGGUGUAAAGCGUGCGCAGGCGGUUCGUUAAGACAGAUGUGAAAUCCCCGGGCUUAACCUGGGAACUGCAUUUGUGACUGGCGAGCUAGAGUAUGGCAGAGGGGGGUAGAAUUCCACGUGUGGCAGUGAAAUGCGUAGAGAUGUGGAGGAAUACCGAUGGCGAAGGCAGCCCCCUGGGCCAAUACUGACGCUCAUGCACGAAAGCGUGGGGAGCAAACAGGAUUAGAUACCCUGGUAGUCCACGCCCUAAACGAUGUCAACUAGUUGUCGGGUCUUCAUUGACUUGGUAACGUAGCUAACGCGUGAAGUUGACCGCCUGGGGAGUACGGUCGCAAGAUUAAAACUCAAAGAAAUUGACGGGA
This 409-nucleotide ribosomal RNA is filed under the name Caballeronia glathei. Its description in RNAcentral is "bacterial SSU rRNA". It matches the Rfam family "Bacterial small subunit ribosomal RNA", at positions 505 to 918 of the family's 1533-position model. The record is from RNAcentral. Lineage: Bacteria; Pseudomonadati; Pseudomonadota; Betaproteobacteria; Burkholderiales; Burkholderiaceae.